Pan troglodytes (chimpanzee) is the source of this 225-nucleotide long non-coding RNA. RefSeq lists it as uncharacterized. NCBI's taxonomy places the organism in Eukaryota, Metazoa, Chordata, Mammalia, Primates, Hominidae. The transcript is spliced from 2 exons. The record is from RefSeq and is a predicted model, not a curated record.
AUGUUCUGUAACAAUCGUCUCCUACCACCCCAACAAUAUUCUCAUGGAAAAGUAUUCUUCCCUGAACAACGAUCAUCCAAGAAGAUUUCCAUCCAACGUAUCUCCCCAAAAAGAUACUAUUCACAUUGGCUGUUUUAACAGAUUCAACUGGAGGCUGAUGACGACAUGAGGUCAACAAACUUCUCCAAGCUCCAAAAUGAAAAACAAAAGCAUAGAUCCACCAUU